RNAcentral lists this long non-coding RNA (363 nucleotides) under Malus domestica (apple). Its description in RNAcentral is "long non-coding RNA (MDOM_LNC017824)". The record is from RNAcentral. Lineage: Eukaryota; Viridiplantae; Streptophyta; Magnoliopsida; Rosales; Rosaceae.
UUUCAUCGGACACAGCACCUUGAAUAAUCCCGAGAGCCUUAGCAUCCUUGAUCAUGUUCUCCUUCAGCUGCUUUAGUUCAGCGACAGUGAGUUCUUCGUCUUCUUUCUUCACCGGAGGAUUAUACCCCGUUUCAACCAUAUCCCACAGAUCGUGAGAUCUGAAAAUGGUCUUCAUCUUUAUCUGCCAGAAAUCAAAGUUUUCCCCAUUGAAAAUCGGUGCUCGAAGAUCUGCACCACUCGAUCCAGCCAUAUUAGACUUGUUAUCGAGUUACCCAGAGAUUUUCAGAUCGUUCUUCAAUCGCAGCAAACUCGAUUCUCUGUCGAGUUCCUCAGCUGCGAACCUUGUCACAGAUUUACGCCCAG